Molecule: small nuclear RNA, 194 nt
Filed under: Colletotrichum orbiculare MAFF 240422
Lineage: Eukaryota; Fungi; Ascomycota; Sordariomycetes; Glomerellales; Glomerellaceae
Description: U2 spliceosomal RNA
Rfam family: U2 spliceosomal RNA
About the family: U2 is a small nuclear RNA (snRNA) component of the spliceosome (involved in pre-mRNA splicing). Complementary binding between U2 snRNA (in an area lying towards the 5' end but 3' to hairpin I) and the branchpoint sequence (BPS) of the intron results the bulging out of an unpaired adenosine, on the BPS, which initiates a nucleophilic attack at the intronic 5' splice site, thus starting the first of two transesterification reactions that mediate splicing.
Source: Rfam by way of RNAcentral
UUAGCUCUCUUUGCCUUUUGGCUUAGAUCAAGUGUAGUAUCUGUUCUUUUCAGUUUAAUCUCUGAAAGGUCUCUAAGGAGACCAAUCUUGAUUAAUCUUAUUUUUGAUAAUCGGAAAGGGGCCUCUACGGCUUGCCUUAUGCCCCCUCCACCGUGUCCCUGGUAUUACACUGCCUCCAGGUGACGCAAACGCGA